RNAcentral lists this ribosomal RNA (189 nucleotides) under uncultured bacterium. RNAcentral describes it as "partial 16S ribosomal RNA". It matches the Rfam family "Bacterial small subunit ribosomal RNA", at positions 338 to 524 of the family's 1533-position model. The record is from RNAcentral.
CCUACGGGAGGCAGCAGUGAGGAAUAUUGGUCAAUGGGCGUGAGCCUGAACCAGCCAAGUAGCGUGCGGGAUGACGGCCCUAUGGGUUGUAAACCGCUUUUGCAGGGGAAUAAAGUGACGAACGUGUUCGUUUUUGCAUGUACCCUGAGAAUAAGGACCGGCUAAUUCCGUGCCAGCAGCCGCGGUAAU